GGUUAACUUGGUCUUUUAUACUUUGUUGAUAAAAACUCAAGGUUAAUACUGUUCUAUAGAUAGCCAGUCAAAUUUUAAGAUGUAACAAUCUUGAAAAAAAAAAAGAACACUUUAAGAUUUUAAUAGCUGAAGUUUGCUAUAGAAGGUUAAUAGUAAAUGAGACAGAAGAAGAUAGUAGAAAAGCUAUGGGUAAAAGAAAUACACUUUUGAUAUGAAAAGAUUUUGUAUGUUUGUCUUGUUAGAAAGAUAUAAAGAAAGAUAUACAAGACCAGAAGGCUUAAGUAUGUAGAGAAGCUAUCAAGGUAGCUGAAACUCAGCUACACCACUCUAGAGUAAAACAGAAUUCCAGGGAAUCCGACUCUAGGAGGCCAAGAGACAACGCACUCAAAGCCCUGCUCUCACCACACCGGAAGCUGGUGAGUCUACGCACGGCUGAAGAAGGAGAACUACAAUCUAGAUAUAGACUCUUAUAUUGUGUCAUACUGUUAAGAGAUGCCUUUACAAAUUGCUGUGACCCCUUAGCUAAAAAUUUAAACAAUGAAUCAAGGAUUUGAUUCUACCUAAAAUCAGUGGGGAUUGUAAGACUUGAAUAGGCUAAAGUGACUCCAUGCUAAUAGGCCAGACUGUGCUUCUUCAUAUGCUAAUUGCUACCUUGGUUAACAGCCCGCCCGGGGGCAAAUGGUUUGACAAAAGGUGACCCUAGAACAUUUCCUGCAUAAGAUAAGCAAUGUGUUUGCAGUCUUGUUCUGUGAAUUCCCUGACUCUUUGUUUAGAAAAACCUUAUAAAAAGUACCUCAGCCCCUGAGCAGUUGCCUCUCUGAGCCACCUGGCUCCGGGAGUGCCGUCUGGCCAGACUAAUAAAGGUCUCUUUGCCAUCUAGCCUGGUGUGUUCCUUCCUGGGUUUCUCGGUUCUCUGUCGUGUUCCCGGAGCCUCGCUGGGUGUUAGGGCCCAGCAUCGUGGAGGCCUUUCGGCUGUUCACGCUCCGUGGAGUGGAAGUGAGACUUUAGGUCUUACAUUAGGGCUUAUCCAGUAUAAAAUCACAGGAGUUAAAAUUGUGCAAGUAUUUCAAAAAAAUAUUCAAGGGUAAAUUAAAAAAAUAAAAAAGACCUCCCUGUGAUGUUAAAAUUUAGAAAAGGACCCCUUUCUGACCUAUAUAGAAAGGGCCAUAUGAGUCACUUAUAGUUACUCCCACAGCUAUCAAGGUAGCUGAAACUCAGCUACACCACUCUAGAGUAAAACAGAAUUCCAGGGAAUCCGACUCCAGGAGGCCAAGAGACAACGCACUCAAAGCCCUGCUCUCACCACACCGGAAGCUGGUGAGUCUACGCACGGCUGAAGAAGGAGAACUACAAUCUAGAUAUAGACUCUUAUAUUGUGUCAUACUGUUAUGAGUUAUUAUACUUCUAAAUUAAGAGUUUAUGAGCCUACAGAUGAUAAAAAUAUGAAAACUUUUUGUGCUCUGGGAAUCCUAAUCCGCAAUUUAGCUGUCUAAGAGAUGCCUUUACAAAUUGCUGUGACCCCUUAGCUAAAAAUUUAAAACAAUGAAUCAAGGAUUUGAUUCUACCUAAGAUCAGUGGGGAUUGUAAGACUUGAAUAGGCUAAAGUGACUCCAUGCUAAUAGGCCAGACUGUGCUUCUUCAUAUGCUAAUUGCUACCUUGGUUAACAGCCCGCCCAGGGGCAAAUGGUUUGACAAAAGGUGACCCUAGAACAUUUCCUGCAUAAGAUAAGCAAUGUGUUUGCAGUCUUGUUCUGUGAAUUCCCUGACUCUUUGUUUAGAAAAACCUUAUAAAAAGUACCUCAGCCCUUGGGAAGCCUCAGAAUGCUCCAUUUUUUUAAUGU
This 1841-nucleotide long non-coding RNA is filed under the name Fukomys damarensis (Damara mole-rat). Its description in RNAcentral is "lncRNA (ENSFDAG00000024088.1)". Lineage: Eukaryota; Metazoa; Chordata; Mammalia; Rodentia; Bathyergidae. The record is from RNAcentral.